This 999-nucleotide long non-coding RNA is filed under the name Salmo salar (Atlantic salmon). Its description in RNAcentral is "lncRNA (ENSSSAG00000083832.1, ENSSSAG00000116086.1)". The record is from RNAcentral. Lineage: Eukaryota; Metazoa; Chordata; Actinopteri; Salmoniformes; Salmonidae.
AGGUAGCCUAGUGGUUAGAGUGUAGAGGAGGCAGGUAGCCUAGUGGUUAGAGUGUAGAGGAGGCAGGUAGCCUAGUGGUUAGAGUGUAGAGGAGGCAGGUAGCCUAGUGGUUAGAGUGUAGAGGAGGCAGGUAGCCUAGUGGUUAGAGUGUAGGGGCGGCAGGUAGCCUAGCGGUUAGAGUGUAGGGGCGGCAGGUAGCCUAGUGGUUAGAGGUAGUAGAGGUACUAGAGGUACAGGAGGAAGUAGAGGUACUACAGGAGGAUGUAGAGGUACUACAGGAGGUACUACAGGGGGUAGUAGAGGUACUACAGGAGGUACUACAGGGGGUAGUAGAGGUACUACAGGAGGAAGUAGAGGUACUACAGGGGGUAGUAGAGGUACUACAGGAGGUACUAGAGGAGGAAGUAGAGGUACUAGAGGAGGAAGUAGAGGUACUACAGGGGGUAGUAGAGGUACUACAGGAGGUACUAGAGGAGGAAGUAGAGGUACUAGAGGAGGAAGUAGAGGUACUAGAGGAGGAAGUAGAGGUACUAGAGGAGGAAGUAGAGGUACUAGAGGAGGUACUAGAGGAGGAAGUAGAGGUACUACAGGAGGUACUAGAGGAGGAGGUAGAGGUACUACAGGAGGUAGUAGAGGUACUAGAGGAGGUAGUAGAGGUACUACAGGAGGUAGUAGAGGUACUAGAGGAGGUACUACAGGAGGUACUAGAGGAGGAAGUAGAGGUACUAGAGGAGGAGGUAGAGGUACUAGAGGAGGUAGUAGAGGUACUAGAGGAGGUAGUAGAGGUACUAGAGGAGGAAGUAGAGGUACUAGAGGAGGAAGUAGAGGUACUAGAGAGACUAGAGAAGAAAUAAGAGCUGAGACCAUUUUCUUCUAGUUGACCUAUGAUCACCUGGGUUACACCAAGAAAACCAUGACAAACCAUUUACCAUGGUCAAGAUAAGGUCUGGGUUGGGUUUAAGAUUUUGGUAAGGGACAAUUAGAUAUAUUAUAACAAAA